RNAcentral lists this ribosomal RNA (465 nucleotides) under Vreelandella stevensii. RNAcentral describes it as "partial 16S ribosomal RNA". It matches the Rfam family "Bacterial small subunit ribosomal RNA", at positions 338 to 795 of the family's 1533-position model. The record is from RNAcentral. Lineage: Bacteria; Pseudomonadati; Pseudomonadota; Gammaproteobacteria; Oceanospirillales; Halomonadaceae.
CCUACGGGUGGCUGCAGUGGGGAAUAUUGGACAAUGGGCGAAAGCCUGAUCCAGCCAUGCCGCGUGUGUGAAGAAGGCCUUCGGGUUGUAAAGCACUUUCAGUGGGGAAGAAAGCCUUGGGGCUAAUACCCUCGAGGAAGGACAUCACCCACAGAAGAAGCACCGGCUAACUCCGUGCCAGCAGCCGCGGUAAUACGGAGGGUGCGAGCGUUAAUCGGAAUUACUGGGCGUAGAGCGCGCGUAGGCGGUCUGAUAAGCCGGUUGUGAAAGCCCCGGGCUCAACCUGGGAACGGCAUCCGGAACUGUCAGGCUAGAGUGCAGGAGAGGAAGGUAGAAUUCCCGGUGUAGCGGUGAAAUGCGUAGAGAUCGGGAGGAAUACCAGUGGCGAAGGCGGCCUUCUGGACUGACACUGACGCUGAGGUGCGAAAGCGUGGGUAGCAAACAGGAUUAGAUACCCUUGUAGUC